AGUGAACGCUGGCGGUAGGCCUAACACAUGCAAGUCGAACGGCAGCACAGUAAGAGCUUGCUCUUACGGGUGGCGAGUGGCGGACGGGUGAGGAAUACAUCGGAAUCUACUUUUUCGUGGGGGAUAACGUAGGGAAACUUACGCUAAUACCGCAUACGACCUACGGGUGGAAGCAGGGGAUCUUCGGACCUUGCGCGAUUGAAUGAGCCGAUGUCGGAUUAGCUAGUUGGCGGGGUAAAGGCCCACCAAGGCGACGAUCCGUAGCUGGUCUGAGAGGAUGAUCAGCCACGCUGGAACUGAGACACGGUCCAGACUCCUACGGGAGGCAGCAGUGGGGAAUAUUGGACAAUGGGCGCAAGCCUGAUCCAGCCAUACCGCGUGGGUGAAGAAGGCCUUCGGGUUGUAAAGCCCUUUUGUUGGGAAAGAAAAGCAGCAGGUUAAUACCCCGCUGUUCUGACGGUACCCAAAGAAUAAGCACCGGCUAACUUCGUG
RNAcentral lists this ribosomal RNA (492 nucleotides) under uncultured bacterium. Its description in RNAcentral is "partial 16S ribosomal RNA". It matches the Rfam family "Bacterial small subunit ribosomal RNA", at positions 29 to 507 of the family's 1533-position model. The record is from RNAcentral.